UGGGUAACCUGCCUCAAAGAGGGGAAUAGCCUCCCGAAAGGGAGAUUAAUACCGCAUAAUAUGUUUAGGUCGCAUGACUUUAACAUCAAAGGAUUUUCUUUUAGAAAUUUCCACUUUGAGAUGGACCCGCGGCGCAUUAGCUAGUUGGCGAGGUAACGGCUCACCAAGGCAACGAUGCGUAGCCGACCUGAGAGGGUGAUCGGCCACAUUGGAACUGAGACACGGUCCAGACUCCGUACGGGAGCAG
RNAcentral lists this ribosomal RNA (247 nucleotides) under uncultured bacterium. RNAcentral's name for it is "partial 16S ribosomal RNA". It matches the Rfam family "Bacterial small subunit ribosomal RNA", at positions 118 to 347 of the family's 1533-position model. The record is from RNAcentral.